AUACGGAGGAUGCAAGCGUUAUCCGGAUUUAUUGGGUUUAAAGGGUGCGUAGGCGGUUUGCUAAGCGGGAGGUGAAAUGCCGGCGCUCAACGUCGGAAGUGCCUCCCGAACUGGUGGACUGGAAUGACUCUGCCGUGGGAGGAAUGUGUAGUGUAGCGGUGAAAUGCUUAGAGAUUACACAGAACACCGAUUGCGAAGGCAUCGCACGAAGGGUUGAUUGACGCUGAGGCACGAAAGCGUGGGGAUCAAACAGGAUUAGAUACCCUGGUAGUCCACGCAGUAAACGAUGAUGGCUAACCGCUGGUUUAUUCGGAUCAGUGGCCAAGCGAAAGCGAUAAGCCAUCCACCUGGGGAGUACGACCGCAAGGUUGAAACUCAAAUGAAUUGACGGGG
RNAcentral lists this ribosomal RNA (393 nucleotides) under uncultured bacterium. RNAcentral describes it as "partial 16S ribosomal RNA". It matches the Rfam family "Bacterial small subunit ribosomal RNA", at positions 523 to 918 of the family's 1533-position model. The record is from RNAcentral.